This 250-nucleotide ribosomal RNA is filed under the name uncultured prokaryote. RNAcentral's name for it is "partial 16S ribosomal RNA". It matches the Rfam family "Bacterial small subunit ribosomal RNA", at positions 524 to 773 of the family's 1533-position model. The record is from RNAcentral.
UACAGAGGGUGCAAGCGUUAGUCGGAGUUACUGGGCGUAAAGGGCGUGUAGGCUGAUAUCUAAGUCAGCUGUGAAAUCCUCGGGCUUAACCUGGGAACUGCAGUUGAUACUGGACGUCUAGAGUAUGAUAGAGGGAAGUGGAAUUCUCGGUGUAGUGGUUAAAUACGUAGAUAUCGAGAGGAACACCGGUGGCGAAAGCGGCUUCCUUGGUCAAUACUGACGCUGAGGCGCGAAAGCGUGGGGAGCAAAC